RNAcentral lists this non-coding RNA (26 nucleotides) under Mus musculus (house mouse). The record is from RNAcentral. Lineage: Eukaryota; Metazoa; Chordata; Mammalia; Rodentia; Muridae.
UACUUGGUCCUUUCUAUCUCCUAAGC